Equus asinus (donkey) is the source of this 2540-nucleotide long non-coding RNA. Lineage: Eukaryota; Metazoa; Chordata; Mammalia; Perissodactyla; Equidae. The record is from Ensembl.
CGGCGCUGGAGCGGGCGGCGUGGUCCGCCCGGGGAAGGGUAUUCUGUGUUCCUGACUUGCAUUUUGGUUUAUUCCGGGCGCGAGGGCAGCCGUUGAUUGUGAAUGUUUUAGUAAUCCUAAAAUAGAACCGAGUAGUUCUGGGAGAGGGGCUAUAAGGAGUUAGUGUUGAAUGAGUGCAGAGUUUCUUUUGGGGAAGAUGAACAAAUUCUGGAGAUGGAUGGUGGACACGGUGCGCAACAAUGUGAACGGGUUAAUGCCUCUGUGCUGCACGCUGAAAAACGGCUAACCUGAUUAGCCCUGAGCUAACUACUGCCAAUCCUCUUUUUGCUGAGGAAGACUGGCCCUGAGCUAACAUCCAUGCCCAUCUUCCUCUACUCUAUAUGUGGGAUGCCUGCCACAGCAUGGCUUGACAAGCAGUGCCAUGUCUACACCCGGGAUCCGAACUGGCGAACCCUGGGCUGCUGAGAAGUGCAAUGUGCGAACUUAACUGCUGCGCCACUGGGCCGGCCCUUGCCUUUCUUAUUUGAUGUUAUAUUUCAAGAAGGUGGAAAGGAGACGUCUGUGCCGGGGGGAAGAAAGGAGAGCCAAGCUGGGAGAGGCUGCAGUGACUCCUCUGUCCGUCGGUGCUCUGUGGACGGCAGCUCCACUGUUUCGUUUGAAGAGCUGGAAGGCAUGGGGACCCUGGAUGACCGAAGACAGACGCGUGCCCAGUGCUGACCUUCGAAUUUAGAAACUAACUUUAGAGUCAAUGGUCGGGCAGAGCGGCAGCCCUUCGUUUCGCUGCUGAAGAGCUUUCCGCGGGGCACUGCAGCCGAGCUUCUGCAUCCGUUACCCGGUUGCUGGGAAUUUGGUUGUUUCGGGUUUGGGGCAUUGCAGACAAUGCCGUGAGGGAUGCUGUCCUGCGUGUGCAGGGGCGCAUCUGAGGGACGUGAACCUGGGACUGGCACGGAUGGCUCCGGGGUUGGGCAUCUUCAGCUUUACAAGAUGAGGUCGGAUUUUCUCCAAAGUUGGUUGUGGAGCUGGGUCAGCUUAUCUCUGCGGAGACCUCGAAGGAAAGCUUCCACCGUGGCUGUGAAUAAAUGGGAAAUUCUUAAAAUGAUACCGUCGUUAAGGGGCGUUGUAACGCCUGUCCCGGGCGUCGUAAGAGCUUAGAGCCUCUGGCCAGCCAGGACAAGCUACAGCAGCUCUGCCACUGACCCAGCCAAUGGCCUUGGGUGCAUCUUGGUGCUUCUGUGGACCACACUUUGCUCACCUGUAUGAUGGGAGAGACAACUCUGCUUCAGAGGGACUCGGGACCUUGGGGAGACAGGAGAAUAAUUCCACCGCCUGGCCGUGGCUGGAUCCUGUCCUGGAGGGAAAACCGCUUUGAAGCGUGUUAUUGAGUCAAUUGCUGAAACUGCCAGAAUUGGAAUACGAACCGGAGAUUAGAUCAAAUAAUACUGUCAAGGCUAAAUUUACCUAAGUCAGUAACCGAACUAAGGUAAGAGAACGUCCCUGUUCUAAGGAAAUACACCCCUGAAGCAUUUCAGGGCAAAAGGCCAGGGUGCGUGCAACUUACUCUCAGAAGUGUAAAUAAGGAUUGCAGGAGACGAAGCAUAUAGGCUAAAAUGUUAAUGCCAGUGAACAAAAGAGAUGGGCGGACCUCCUGAGCUCGGGGAAGACUGAGAGCAAGGACUGUGAUUUGUUUCACCAGGAGCUCCAGAGCUUGAGACAGUGCCCAGUAGGUAGCAGGUGUUUGAAGAUGUUUGUUGAUUGAAUGAAUGAUUGAAUAAACAAUGAAAGAACAAGUUAGUAAAUCAAAGAUGUGCUAUCUUGGCUGGACUACGGUUGUUGAGAACUCCUUGUGUCAACAUUGACCUUUUUAUGAAGUUUGCUCUCCAGUGAUAGCCUAGCUCACUCCCAGGACGGAGUAGAUCAGCACCAUCCAAUAAAAGUGGAAUGUGAGCCACGUGUGUAAUUUAGAAUCGUCUGGUGGCCACCUGAAAAGUGUAAAAAGAACAGGUAAAAUCAAUUUUAAUAAAAUAUUUCAUUUAACCCAACAUAUUUGAACAUUAUCACUUUAGCAUAUAAUUAACAUUAAAAUUAUUUUAUUUUAUUUUUUUGAGGAAGAUUAGCCCUGAGCUAACUGCCCCCAAGCCUCCUCUUUUUGCUGAGGAAGACUGGCCCUGAGCUACCAUCCGUGCCCAUCUUCCUCUACUUUAUAUGUGGGACGCCUGCCACAAGCAUGGCUUGAUGAGCGGUGUCACGUCUGCACCUGAGAUGGGAACUGGCGAACCCUGGGCCACCAGAUCGGAACGUGUGAACUUAACCACUGCGCCACCGGGCUGGCCCUAAUAUUAAAAUGAUUGAAUGAGAUAUUUUACCUUCCGUUUUUUUGUGCACUGUCCUGGCAGUCCAGCUUGUAUCGUACUUAUAGCACAUCUCGGUUUAGACGCUCAAUUUUCAUCACAAAUACUUGAUCUGUAUUUAGAGCUCAUAAAAUUUAGGGUUGAAAAAGUAGGUUCGUAUGCCUCAGUUGUUCCAAACAUACUUGAAAGUUU